Molecule: long non-coding RNA, 93 nt
Organism: Nothoprocta perdicaria
Lineage: Eukaryota; Metazoa; Chordata; Aves; Tinamiformes; Tinamidae
Exons: 3
Source: RefSeq, a predicted model, not a curated record
AAAAACUGUGUCAUAAGAAAUCUGAGGUCUCCUGGAUGGGUGACUGUGGUAAUGACUUUGCCUUCGGCUGUGGAAAAUUUCGGCAGAAGUUCC